GCCCCGAUAGCUCAGUGGUAGAGCAUUCCAUGGUAAGGAAGGGGUCGACAGUUCAAUCCUGUCUCGGGGCUCGA
This 74-nucleotide transfer RNA is filed under the name Actinomycetota bacterium. RNAcentral's name for it is "Actinobacteria bacterium tRNA-Thr". It matches the Rfam family "tRNA". Rfam says of the family: Transfer RNA (tRNA) molecules are approximately 80 nucleotides in length. Their secondary structure includes four short double-helical elements and three loops (D, anti-codon, and T loops). Lineage: Bacteria; Bacillati; Actinomycetota. The record is from RNAcentral.